Xyrichtys novacula (pearly razorfish) is the source of this 657-nucleotide non-coding RNA. The record is from the annotation of a GenBank genome assembly. Lineage: Eukaryota; Metazoa; Chordata; Actinopteri; Labriformes; Labridae.
GUGGAACAUGAAGCUGUGGUGGCCUCACUGUGAAGCUCUCAUCGCCUACCUGAUGACCUACAGUCACACUAAGAGACCAGAGCUGCUGGAGAGAUUCUCUCAGGUGUAUGAGUACACCUUCAGUCACGUGAGUUAUUACUGAGGGAAACGUACCCGAGGAAAAAUCUCAUGCUACACCUCUGAAGUGUUUAAUGUUAACAAAUGACCGUCACGAUGACUUGUAACUUAUGAAGCCUCACUUAAGAAGCACUGAAAUAUUCCUUUAAUGUUCAUAUUGUAGAAACAUUGGGUAGAAUAGAAAAGAAAAGAAGUUGUAGAGAAGAAAAAAGAUGUUAAAAUAGACGAAAAAGAGAUGCCAAAAAUAGAAUAGCAGAGACUAGUAAUGGGAGUGUGCUAAAUAACCGUGCAAGAUUAACGAAGACAGGGCCCAUAUCUACUUAACGGUAAGACAAUGUGUAAAUUAGUGACUAAUGUGAACGUCUAGCUCAAAAAGGAUAGUCGAAUUCGGGGCGUGGAAAGAAAAAGUGAGGAGUAAAACCCGGAGCCCAGGGUAAUUGGCAAAUAAAUGAUGAAAAGAGAUAAAGAGUAAAAGAGACAAAGUGAAAAAGAGAAAAAGGCUGAGAUGGCCGAAAAAGAGAAAAAGUUAACUUAAUGUUA